CGAUGCCGACCAGGGACCAGCGGAUGUUGCUUUUAGGACUCUGCUGGCACCUUAUGAGAAAUCAAAGUUUUUGGGUUCCCGGGGGAGUAUGGUCGCAAGGCUGAAACUUAACGGAAUUGACGGAAGGGCACCACCAGGAGUGGAGCCUGCGGCUUAAUUUGACUCAAUACGGGGAAACUUACCAGGUCCAGACAUAGUAAGGAUUGACAGACUGAGAACUCUUUCUUGAUUCUAUGGGUGGUGGUGCAUGGCCGUUCUUAGUUGGUGGAGCGAUUUGUCUGGUUAAUUUCGUUAACGAGCGAGUCCUCAGCCUGCUAACUAGCAAUGUGGAGGCAUCCCUUCACGGCCGGCUUCAUAGAGGGACUAUGGCCGUUUAGGCCAAGGAAGUUUGAGGCAAUAACAGGUCUGUGAUGCCCUUAGAUGUUCUGGGCCACACGCGCACUACACUGAUGUAUUCAACGAGUUCACACCUUGGCUGACAGGCCCGGGUAAUCUUUGAAAUUUCAUCGUGAUGGGGAUUGAUGAUUGCAAUUGUUGGUCUUCAACGAGGAAUUCCUAGUAAGCGCGAGUCAUCAGCUCGCGUUAACUACGUCCCUGCCCUUUGUACACACCGCCCGUCGCUCCUACCGAUUGAAUGAUCCGGUGAAGUGUUCGGAUCUCGGUGACGUGGGUGGUUCGCCGUCUGCGACGUCGCGAGAAGUCCACUAAACCUUAUCAUUUUUAGAGGAAGAGGAAGUCGUAACAAGGUUUCCGUAGGGGAACCUGCGGAAGGAUCAUUG
This 779-nucleotide non-coding RNA is filed under the name Brassica napus (rape). Its description in RNAcentral is "Eukaryotic small subunit ribosomal RNA". It matches the Rfam family "Eukaryotic small subunit ribosomal RNA", at positions 1037 to 1831 of the family's 1831-position model. Lineage: Eukaryota; Viridiplantae; Streptophyta; Magnoliopsida; Brassicales; Brassicaceae. The record is from Rfam by way of RNAcentral.